Molecule: ribosomal RNA, 229 nt
Filed under: uncultured bacterium
Lineage: Bacteria
Description: partial 16S ribosomal RNA
Rfam family: Bacterial small subunit ribosomal RNA
Source: RNAcentral
UGCGUAGGCGGGAGAUUAAGUCAGUGGUGAAAUCCUGCAGCUUAACUGUAGAAUUGCCAUUGAUACUGGUUUUCUUGAGUGUAGUUGAAGUGGGCGGAAUGUGUAUUGUAGCGGUGAAAUGCUUAGAUAUUACACAGAACACCUAUUGCGAAGGCAGCUCACUAAACUAAUACUGACGCUGAGGCACGAAAGCGUGGGGAGCAAACAGGAUUAGAUACCCUGGUAGUCC